AGUGGCGGACGGGUGAGUAACGCGUGAGAAUCUGCCUUGGGGUCGGGGACAACCACUGGAAACGGUGGCUAAUACCGGAUAAGCCGAUUGGUGAAAGAUUUAUUGCCCGAAGAGGAGCUCGCGUCUGAUUAGCUAGUUGGUGAGGUAAGAGCUCACCAAGGCAGCGAUCAGUAGCUGGUCUGAGAGGACGAUCAGCCACACUGGGACUGAGACACGGCCAGACUCCUACGGGAGGCAGCAGUGGGGAAUUUUCCGCAAUGGGCGAAAGCCUGACGGAGCAAGACCGCGUGAGGGAGGAAGGCUCUUGGGUUGUAAACCUCUUUUCUCAGGGAAGAAGCUCUGACGGUACCUGAGGAAUCAGCCUCGGCUAACUCCGUGCCAGCAGCCGCGGUAAUACGGAGGAGGCAAGCGUUAUCCGGAAUUAUUGGGCGUAAAGCGUCCGCAGGUGGCGAUUCAAGUCUGCUGUCAAAGCACGGGGCUUAACUCCGUAAAGGCAGUGGAAACUGAAUAGCUAGAGUGCCGUAGGGGUAGAGGGAAUUCCCGGUGUAGCGGUGAAAUGCGUAGAGAUCGGGAAGAACAUCGGUGGCGAAAGCGCUCUACUGGACGGCAACUGACACUCAGGGACGAAAGCUAGGGGAGCGAAUGGGAUUAGAUACCCC
This 659-nucleotide ribosomal RNA is filed under the name uncultured bacterium. RNAcentral's name for it is "bacterial SSU rRNA". It matches the Rfam family "Bacterial small subunit ribosomal RNA", at positions 94 to 788 of the family's 1533-position model. The record is from RNAcentral.